UAUUAGGUUGGUGCAAAAAUAAUUGCUAUUACCAUAAUGGCAAAAGCUGCAGUUACUUUUGCACUAGCCUA
This 71-nucleotide microRNA precursor is filed under the name Chlorocebus sabaeus (green monkey). Its description in RNAcentral is "miRNA (ENSCSAG00000020516.1)". Lineage: Eukaryota; Metazoa; Chordata; Mammalia; Primates; Cercopithecidae. The record is from RNAcentral.